GUGAAAAGAGAGCUGGCAGGAGUACUGAUCUUCGAGUCCCAUGCCAAAACAGGAACAGUCUUGUUCAAUCAAGGGGAGGAGGGCACCUCAUGGUACAUUAUCCUGAAGGGCUCCGUCAAUGUCGUCAUCUAUGGAAAAGGUGUCGUCUGCACGCUUCAUGAGGGGGACGACUUUGGGAAGCUGGCUCUGGUCAACG
Paralichthys olivaceus (Japanese flounder) is the source of this 196-nucleotide non-coding RNA. NCBI's taxonomy places the organism in Eukaryota, Metazoa, Chordata, Actinopteri, Pleuronectiformes, Paralichthyidae. The record is from RefSeq and is a predicted model, not a curated record.